Molecule: long non-coding RNA, 201 nt
Organism: Mytilus trossulus (common blue mussel)
Lineage: Eukaryota; Metazoa; Mollusca; Bivalvia; Mytilida; Mytilidae
Exons: 2
Source: RefSeq, a predicted model, not a curated record
CAAAAUCGUUGACAUGGUAGAUGGACACUGCAGUACAAUAUUUAUAGCUGAACUGGAAAUUACAAUUGAUAAGAUAUCACAUUGGUUUGAGCAUGAUUCCCAGCCAGAUUAUGAAGGGGCAUAUAUCAUGUAUACAUAGGAAAUAUAUAGUGUCACUAAAUUACUCAAAUACAGUACCUCAUUUGUACCUGUAGCUGUAAA